UGUUCCAGCCCGGGAUCGAACCGGGGACCUUGUACGUGUGAAACACUAGUGAUAACGGCUACACCACAGAAAC
This is a non-coding RNA of Cordylochernes scorpioides, 73 nucleotides long. The record is from the annotation of a GenBank genome assembly. Lineage: Eukaryota; Metazoa; Arthropoda; Arachnida; Pseudoscorpiones; Chernetidae.